GACGAACGCUGGCGGCGUGCUUAACACAUGCAAGUCGAACGGAAAGGCCCUGCUUUUGUGGGGUGCUCGAGUGGCGAACGGGUGAGUAACACGUGAGUAACCUGCCCUUGACUGUGGGAUAACUUCAGGAAACUGGGGCUAAUACCGGAUAGGAGCUCCUGCUGCAUGGUGGGGGUUGGAAAGUUUCGGCGGUUGGGGAUGGACUCGCGGCUUAUCAGCUUGUUGGUGUGGUAGUGGCUUACCAAGGCUUUGACGGGUAGCCGGCCUGAGAGGGUGACCGGCCACAUUGGGCCUGAGCUGCGGCCCAGCCUCCUACGGGACGCAGCGGUGGGGAAUAUUGCACAAUGGGCGGAAGCCUGAUGCAGCAACGCCGCGUGCGGGAUGACGGCCUUCGGGUUGUAUACCGCCUUCGCCUGUGCCGAAGCGUGAGUGACGGUAAUGGGUAAAGAAGCACCGGCUAACUACGUG
Molecule: ribosomal RNA, 468 nt
Filed under: uncultured bacterium
Lineage: Bacteria
Description: partial 16S ribosomal RNA
Rfam family: Bacterial small subunit ribosomal RNA
Source: RNAcentral